RNAcentral lists this ribosomal RNA (613 nucleotides) under Cladophialophora carrionii. RNAcentral describes it as "LSU rRNA". It matches the Rfam family "Eukaryotic large subunit ribosomal RNA", at positions 38 to 667 of the family's 3401-position model. Lineage: Eukaryota; Fungi; Ascomycota; Eurotiomycetes; Chaetothyriales; Herpotrichiellaceae. The record is from RNAcentral.
GCAUAUCAAUAAGCGCAGGAAAAGAAACCAACAGGGAUUGCCUCAGUAACGGCGAGUGAAGCGGCAACAGCUCAAAUUUGAAAUCUGGCCCCCCGGGGUCCGAGUUGUAAUUUGUAGAGGAUGUUUUGGGUACCGCCCCGGUUUAAAUUUCUUGGAACAGAAUGUCAGAGAGGGUGAGAAUCCCGUCUUGGACCGGUGGUAGGGCCUGUGUAAAACUCCUUCGACGAGUCGAGUUGUUUGGGAAUGCAGCUCAAAAUGGGUGGUAAAUUUCAUCUAAAGCUAAAUAUUGGCCAGAGACCGAUAGCGCACAAGUAGAGUGAUCGAAAGAUGAAAAGAACUUUGAAAAGAGAGUUAAACAGUAUGUGAAAUUGUUGAAAGGGAAGCGCUUGCAACCAGACUUGAGCGCGACGGUUCCCCCAGCCUUUUGGCUGGGUUACUCCGUCGUGUCCAGGCCAACAUCGGUUCUGAGGGUCGGUCAAAGGCUCUGGGAAUGUAUCUACCCACGGGUAGACUUAUAGACCAGGGUGUCAUGCGGCCUCUCGGGACCGAGGAACGCGCUUCGGCUCGGAUGUUGGCGUAAUGGUUGUCAGCGACCCGUCUUGAAACACGGACC